UCCCCCUUUGACAAUGAAUUUCAUCAAACAACACAAAAAUAUGUCCCCACUAAAAAAUGUUUCUUUAAACUAGAAGGGAUUUUUUUUGUUUAUUUUGUCAUAUUUGAUUUUUUCUUGUUUUUGUAAUGAGCAUUAGGAAAUAUCAUGAACAUGAUAAUUGUGCAUCCAAGUCAUGUAAAAAGUAGUUGUACUCAAUAUGUAUAUAAGUAUGAUGUAAUCUACACAUGACUAAAAAUCAAGUAUUUUUACGAUUUAUUGCAAGACAUGAUCUCCCCUUGUCAACUAUAUCAAUACUUGAAUACAAAAUAGUUUGCAGCACAUUACAUUAAACAUAGCACUUUAUAAAAGCAUAAUAUUUAUUUUCAUUGAAUUUAUAUGCCAAGUCAAUUCAACCUUGCCAAGCCUAUAUUUAAAACACCAUGCCAAGCCUAUGUCCAGAGUGCAAUGAUUAACAAUCAGAAGCUUAAGGUAAUGGUAAGCAAUCAGAAGCUUAAGAGAAAGGUUUCAAUAAACACAACAACUUCCAAGUUCAUACCAA
Molecule: long non-coding RNA, 538 nt
Filed under: Brachypodium distachyon (stiff brome)
Lineage: Eukaryota; Viridiplantae; Streptophyta; Magnoliopsida; Poales; Poaceae
Description: long non-coding RNA (BDIS_LNC003142)
Source: RNAcentral